Molecule: long non-coding RNA, 476 nt
Organism: Dalotia coriaria
Lineage: Eukaryota; Metazoa; Arthropoda; Insecta; Coleoptera; Staphylinidae
Exons: 2
Source: RefSeq, a predicted model, not a curated record
AUUAAACUCAUCAGUAAAACAAUUCUAAUUAACAUUACAAGAGCUUGUGCCUUUAUACUUAAAAUUAAAACAUCAUGAAGUUUAUUAUUUGCGCAGUUUUGAUUGCUUACGUCGCAUGGUCUAAUGGCGUUCCGACCAUAGAUGGAGAAAAUGCAAGGACAAUUUUCAAUCAAAAUACAAUUACCCCGGGAUCUCCGUGCUUCACUGGUCCGCUAUGUCAGUACAGGACUAUUCCUUGUUUAAUGCAGAGAAGAGCUUGCUCGAGAGGAUGUGCUGCAAGCAACGCCACAACCCCAGUCGGAAGUUGUGCCACAGGAGCUUGUGUAUGCAGCGCUUAAGAUUUAAGAUGGUUGAAUUGUUAAUUACGCGUUCGGUUAUUUAGUUAGACUUAUUAUUAUUAAUCAGUAGACAACUUUAGUACUUUUAGUAAUUUGUAAAGAAUGACUAAAUAUUACAUAUUUCUAUAUUAAUUCGAA